Molecule: small nuclear RNA, 20 nt
Filed under: Arabidopsis thaliana (thale cress)
Lineage: Eukaryota; Viridiplantae; Streptophyta; Magnoliopsida; Brassicales; Brassicaceae
Description: snRNA_19188
Source: RNAcentral
GAGUCUGACAUGUGUGCGAG